RNAcentral lists this ribosomal RNA (2276 nucleotides) under human metagenome. RNAcentral's name for it is "bacterial LSU rRNA". It matches the Rfam family "Bacterial large subunit ribosomal RNA", at positions 14 to 2324 of the family's 2925-position model. The record is from RNAcentral.
AGAGCGCACGGAGGAUGCCUUGGCACUAGGAGCCGAAGAAGGACGUGACAAACGACGAAACGCUACGGGGAGCUGUAAGUAAGCAAAGAUCCGUAGAUAUCCGAAUGGGGGAACCCACCGCUUUUAAAAGGGCGGUACGCGAAAGCGAGGUAACGCAGGGAACUGAAACAUCUAAGUACCUGUAGGAAGAGAAAGAAAAAUCGAUUUCCUAAGUAGCGGCGAGCGAAAGGGAAAGAGCCCAAACCAAUAUGCUUGCAUAUUGGGGUUGUAGGACUCUCAACAAAGCGUAUGACAAAGUAUAGUAGAACGAGCUGGAAAGUUAGACCGUAGAAGGUAAAAGUCCUGUAUACGAAAUGCUGAGUUGGCGUGAGAGAGCACCUGAGUACGGCGGAACACGAGGAAUUCCGUCGGAAUCUACCAGGACCAUCUGGUAAGGCUAAAUACUACCUAGUGACCGAUAGUGAACCAGUACCGUGAGGGAAAGGUGAAAAGAACCCCGGGAGGGGAGUGAAAGAGAACCUGAAACCGUGUGCUUACAAGUAGUCAGAGCCCUUUAGGGGGUGAUGGCGUGCCUUUUGUAGAAUGAACCGGCGAGUUACUUUAUCAUGCGAGGUUAAGUGGAAGACAUGGAGCCGAAGCGAAAGCGAGUCUUAAUAGGGCGAGAUAGUAUGAUGGAGUAGACCCGAAACCAAGUGAUCUACCCAUGGCCAGGUUGAAGUUUAGGUAACACUGAAUGGAGGACCGAACCAGGACACGUUGAAAAGUGUUUGGAUGAGCUGUGGGUAGCGGAGAAAUUCCAAUCGAACUUGGAAAUAGCUGGUUCUCUCCGAAAUAGCUUUAGGGCUAGCCUCGUUGUGAGUUUACUGGAGGUAGAGCACUGUUUGGACUAGGGGCCCAUCCCGGGUUACCGAAUUCAGACAAACUCCGAAUGCCAGAUAAAUAUCAACGGGAGUCAGACUGCGGGUGAUAAGGUUCGUAGUCGAAAGGGAAACAGCCCAGACCGCCAGCUAAGGUCCCAAAUUGUAUGUUAAGUGGAAAAGGAUGUGAUGAUGCACAGACAACCAGGAUGUUGGCUUAGAAGCAGCCACCAUUUAAAGAGUGCGUAAUAGCUCACUGGUCGAGUGACAUCGCGCCGAAAAUGUACCGGGGCUAAACAUACAACCGAAGCUGCGGAUAUAACUAAUGUUAUAUGGUAGGAGAGCGUUCUAACAUCAUAGAAGCCGAACUGGAAGGUGAGGUGGAGAGGUUAGAAGUGAGAAUGCCGGUGUGAGUAGCGAAAGAUAGGUGAGAAUCCUAUCCACCGAAAGACUAAGGUUUCCAGAGGAAGGCUCGUCCGCUCUGGGUAAGUCGGGACCUAAGGUGAAGCCGAUAGGUGAAGCCGAUGGACAACAGGUAGAAAUUCCUGUACCACCGAAUAUCGAUUGAGAGAAGUGGGGACAGAGGAGGCUAAUUGAUCGCCCUGAUGGAAUAGGGCGUCUAAGCACAAAGACUGACAAGUAGGCAAAUCCGCUUGUUGUAAAGGUUGAAGUGUGAUGGGGAGCGAAAUAUAGUAGCGAAGUCAAUGAAGCCAAACUCUCAAGAAAAGCCGCUAUCGAGAUAAGAGGUGCCCGUACCGCAAACCGACACAGGUAGUUGGGAAGAGAAUUCUAAGGUGAGCGAGAGAACCAUCGUUAAGGAACUCGGCAAAAUGACCCCGUAACUUCGGGAGAAGGGGUGCCUACGAGAGUAGGCCGCAGUGAAUAGGCCCAAGCGACUGUUUAUCAAAAACACAGGUCUCUGCAAAACCGAAAGGUGAAGUAUAGGGGCUGACGCCUGCCCGGUGCUGGAAGGUUAAGAGGAGUGCUUAGCGCAAGCGAAGGUAUGAAUUGAAGCCCCAGUAAACGGCGGCCGUAACUAUAACGGUCCUAAGGUAGCGAAAUUCCUUGUCGGGUAAGUUCCGACCCGCACGAAAGGCGUAAUGAUUUGGGCACUGUCUCAACGAGAGACUCGGUGAAAUUUUAGUACCUGUGAAGAUGCAGGUUACCCGCGACAGGACGGAAAGACCCCAUGGAGCUUUACUGUAGCUUGAUAUUGAAUUUUGAUGCAGUAUGUACAGGAUAGGUAGGAGCCUAAGAAUCAUGCACGCCAGUGUAUGAGGAGGCGUUGUUGGGAUACUACCCUUGCUGUAUUGAAAUUCUAACCCUCGGCAUAGAAGACCGGGAGACAGUGUCAGGUGGGCAGUUUGACUGGGGCGGUCGCCUCCUAAAGAGUAACGGAGGCGUUCAAAGGUUCCCUCA